Molecule: ribosomal RNA, 450 nt
Filed under: uncultured bacterium
Lineage: Bacteria
Description: bacterial SSU rRNA
Rfam family: Bacterial small subunit ribosomal RNA
Source: RNAcentral
AACGAACGCUGGCGGCAUGCCUAACACAUGCAAGUCGAACGAAGCCUUCGGGCUUAGUGGCGCACGGGUGCGUAACGCGUGGGAAUCUGCCCUUGGGUUCGGAAUAACAGUUAGAAAUGACUGCUAAUACCGAAUGAUGUCUUCGGACCAAAGAUUUAUCGCCCAAGGAUGAGCCCGCGUCGGAUUAGCUAGUUGGUGAGGUAAAGGCUCACCAAGGCGACGAUCCGUAGCUGGUCUGAGAGGAUGAUCAGCCACACUGGGACUGAGACACGGCCCAGACUCCUACGGGAGGCAGCAGUGGGGAAUAUUGGACAAUGGGCGAAAGCCUGAUCCAGCAAUGCCGCGUGAGUGAUGAAGGCCUUAGGGUUGUAAAGCUCUUUUACCCGGGAUGAUAAUGACAGUACCGGGAGAAUAAGCCCCGGCUAACUACGUGCCAGCAGCCGCGGUAAU